GACGAACGCUGGCGGCGUGCUUAACACAUGCAAGUCGAACGGUAAGGCCCUUCGGGGUACACGAGUGGCGAACGGGUGAGUAACACGUGGGUGAUCUGCCCUGCACUUCGGGAUAAGCCUGGGAAGCUGGGUCUAAUACCGGAUAGGACUCCUGGCUUCAUGGUUGGGGGUGGAAAGCUUUUGCGGUGUGGGAUGGGCCCGCGGCCUAUCAGCUUGUUGGUGGGGUAAUGGCCUACCAAGGCGACGACGGGUAGCCGGCCUGAGAGGGUGACCGGGCACACUGGGACUGAGAUACGGCCCAGACGCCUACGGGAGGCAGCAGUGGGGAAUAUUGCACAAUGGGCGCAAGCCUGAUGCAGCGACGCCGCGUGAGGGAUGACGGCCUGCGGGUUGUAAACCUCUUUCAGCUAUGACGAAGCGCAAGUGACGGUAGUAGCAGAAGAAGGACCGGCCAACUACGUGCCAGCCGCCGCCGUAA
RNAcentral lists this ribosomal RNA (478 nucleotides) under uncultured bacterium. Its description in RNAcentral is "partial 16S ribosomal RNA". It matches the Rfam family "Bacterial small subunit ribosomal RNA", at positions 28 to 523 of the family's 1533-position model. The record is from RNAcentral.